CAGGGGGCAUCCCCGCCAAAAAAGGCUGAACCGGCGGCGCCAUCAAGAGCGCGGCCGGCGAAU
This 63-nucleotide non-coding RNA is filed under the name Gibbsiella quercinecans. RNAcentral describes it as "DnaX ribosomal frameshifting element". It matches the Rfam family "DnaX ribosomal frameshifting element". From Rfam's summary of the family: This family represents a ribosomal frameshifting element found in the mRNA of the dnaX gene in E. coli. The dnaX gene has two encoded products tau and gamma which are produced in a 1:1 ratio. The gamma protein is synthesised due to programmed frameshifting and is shorter than tau. The record is from RNAcentral. Lineage: Bacteria; Pseudomonadati; Pseudomonadota; Gammaproteobacteria; Enterobacterales; Yersiniaceae.